AAACUCAAAUGAAUUGACGGGGGCCUGCACAAGCGGUGGAGCAUGUGGUUUAAUUCGAAGCAACGCGCAGAACCUUACCAGCGUUUGACAUGGUAGGGCGACUGGCAGAGAUGCCUUUCUUCCCUUCGGGGACCUACACACAGGUGCUGCAUUGCUGUCGUCAGCUCGUGUCGUGAGAUGUUGGGUUAAGUCCCGCAACGAGCGCAACCCUCGCCUUUAGUUACCAUCAUUUAGUUGGGUACUCUAAAGGAACCGCCGGUGAUAAGCCGGAGGAAGGUGGGGAUGACGUCAAGUCCUCAUGGCCCUUACGCGCUGGGCUACACACGUGCUACAAUGGCGGUGACAGUGGGCAGCAAUCCCGCGAGGGUGAGCUAAUCUCCAAAAGCCGUCUCAGUUCGGAUUGUUCUCUGCAACUCGAGAGCAUGAAGGCGGAAUCGCUAGUAAUCGCGGAUCAGCAUGCCGCGGUGAGUACGUUCCCAGGCCUUGUACACACCGCCCGU
Molecule: ribosomal RNA, 500 nt
Filed under: uncultured Pseudomonadota bacterium
Lineage: Bacteria; Pseudomonadati; Pseudomonadota
Description: bacterial SSU rRNA
Rfam family: Bacterial small subunit ribosomal RNA
Source: RNAcentral